Molecule: RNA transcript, 7064 nt
Organism: Mytilus trossulus (common blue mussel)
Lineage: Eukaryota; Metazoa; Mollusca; Bivalvia; Mytilida; Mytilidae
Gene name: TGF-beta-activated kinase 1 and MAP3K7-binding protein 1-like
Exons: 8
Source: RefSeq, a predicted model, not a curated record
UUUUUGCAACACCUGUGGAAAGAAUCCGAAUGAUAACAACUUCCGUUCUUAAAAAAAAUGUAGAAAUUCAUGUUCAUUGCCAACUUUAUCGGGAUAUGGCUACAACUAGACUUCCAAACGGAUCUGUAGGGUCUCCUCCUAGAUUAGGGAGUCAUGCAUUGAGCUGGACUGAUGACUUGCCUGUUUGUCAGCUUUCUGGGGUUGGAUUCUCAACAAAUCAACUCUACAGAGAAGACGGGUUUAGACAAGAAGAACAUGAAUUUGAAGACAGGAGUUUUCAUUUUAGAUUACUAGAUACAGAAAGCUUUUUAUAUGGAGUUUUUGAUGGACAUGAUGGAAGUCGAGUGGCUAACUUUGCUGCACAGAGAAUGCCAGCUGAACUUCUUCUUGGACAACUGAAUAACAACAAUACUGAUGAAGAAAUUAAAGAAAUACUGUAUCAGGCCUUUAUUGCUGUUGAAAAGAGUUUCUUUGAAUCCAUUGACCAUAUUUUUGCUGAAAAGACCACAAUACAGUUACAACUACCAGAGGGUAUCAGUCACUAUGAAGCAUGUAAACAGUAUCCAGACACCAUGAAACAGCUUGACAACUUAGAAAAAGAAAUAUCAGGGGGGACAACUGCUACGGUCUCACUUAUAUACAAAAAUAAGUUAUUUGUGGCCAAUGUAGGUGAUACAAGGGCCUUGCUAUGCAUCACUGACCAAGAGGGCAUGCUUCGUGUCAUGCAGUUAUCAGUGGACCACUCAUUAGUCAAUGAGGAGGAAUGUAACAGGAUGGCAUUGUUAGGUCUAGACAUGGAGAAACUAAAACAACAUAGACUGAUAGGAAGUUCUGACAGUACAAGAUGUCUAGGAGAUUAUCAUGUGAAAGGAGGAUAUAAAGAUAUUGAUCUAUUGCUGGAUGCAAGCAGGGAACCAGUGAUUGCUGAUCCAUAUGUUCAUGGAGGUAUACCUUUGGACAAGUCCUCCAGUUUCCUGAUUAUCAUGUCAGAUGGAUUAUAUCAAGCCUUACAAGAUGCCAUCCAGUGUGAUCGUGUCAAUGUUGAAGUGGCUCGCAUGGUGGCAGCAGAGUUUUCAAUUCAAGGCACACUGCACGGUGUGGCACAGGCUGUCGUUGACAAGGUUGUGAGAAUGCAUCAUGAUGCAUAUAUGACUGGCACCCCAGAAAUAAAGAGUUUGUGUAAGAAACGAGGGGACAUAACUCUGCUGGUUCGAAAUUUUAAUUAUCCAUUGGCAAAUGCAAUUAAUUCACCAAACCGAACUGGACCUUAUAAUCCAUUGUCUCCACCCACUCCAGCAAGAAUUCCCAGUCAUUUACCGCUGACUCCAUCUAUUAGUAUAGAACUGUCAGAUCACAGCAGUUCCCAAUCCCCAGCAGGAACUCCUACUCCUACGAAACAGAGGUCGCCACCUAGGGACAUCAUGCUAACCACAACUAGUACACUAGAAUCCACCUUACCUGACUCUACUUUAAAUACCAGUAAUGGAGGUACCAGUACAGAAUCAUCAACACAAAGUAGUGGAGAUACAAGGUUUCCUAGUCGAUUUUACCAAUGUGCAAAACUAGAACUUGAUGAAGACGGUAAAAUUGAACCAUAUGUUGAUUUUUCAGACUUUUAUAAAGCAAUAGCAGAAUUAACAGAAGCGCAGAGAGAGACAUUGAAUGCCGAGACCAAUCCAAAAUCUGGAUAUGAGACAAUAACAGAGGAAUCUGAAACUUCACUAACGUCUGGACCAGAAAACUAAUUUUUUAGCUCAAGUGGCCCGAAGGGCCAAGUGAGCUUUUCUCAUCACUUGGCGUCCGUCGUCCAUCGUCGUCCGUCGUCGUCCGUCGUUGUUAACUUUUACAAAAAUCUUCUCCUCUGAAACUACUGGGCCAAAUCAAACCAAACUUGGCCACAAUCAUCAUUGGAGUAUCUAGUUUAAAAAAUGUGUGGCGUGACCCGGUCAACCAACCAAGAUGGCCGCCACGGCUAAAAAUAGAACAUAGGGGUAAAAUGCAGUUGUUGGCUUAUAACUCAAAAACCAAAGCAUUUAGAGGAAAUCUGACAUGGGGUAAAAAUGUUUAUCAGGUCAAGAUCUAUCUGCCCUGAAAUUUUCAGAUGAAUCGGUCAAUCGGUUGUUGGGUUGCUGCCCCUGAAUUGGUAAUUUUGAAGAAAUUUUGCUGUUUUUGGUUAUUAUCUUGAAUAUUAUUAUAGUUAGAGAUAAACUGUAAACAGCAAUAAUGUUCAGCAAAGUAAGAUCUACAAAUAAGUCAACAUGACCAAAAUGGUCAGUUGACCCGUUUAGGAGUUAUUGCCCUUUAUAGUCAAUUUUUAACCAUUUUUCGUUAAUUAAAGUAAUCUUUUACAAAAAUCUUCUCCUCUGAAACUACUUGGCCAAAUUAAUCCAAACUUGGCCACAAUCAUCUUUGGGUUAUCUAGUUUAAAAAAUGUGUGGCGUGACCUGGUCAACCAACCAAGAUGGCCGCCACGGCUGAAAAUAGAACAAAGGGGUAAAAUGCAGUCUUUGGCUUAUAACUCAAAAACCAAAGCAUUUUGAGGAAAUCUGACAUGGGAUAAAAAUGUUUAUCAGGUCAAGAUCUAUCUGCCCUAAAAUUUUCAGAUGAAUCGGUCAAUCGGUUGUUGGGUUGCUGCCCCUGAAUUGGUAAUUUUGAGGAAAUUUUGCUGUUUUUGGUUAUUAUCUUGAAUAUUAUUAUAGAUAGAGAUAAACUGUAAACAGCAAUAAUGUUCAGCAAAGUAAGAUCUACAAAUAAGUCAACAUGACCAAAAUGGUCAGUUGACCCGUUUAGGAGUUAUUGCCCUUUAUAGUCAAUUUUUAACCAUUUUUCGUAAAUUAGAGUAAUCUUUUACAAAAAUCUUCUCCUCUGAAACUACUUGGCCACAAUCAUCUUUGGGGUAUCUAGUUUAAAAAAUGUGUGGCGUGACCUGGUCAACCAACCAAGAUGGCCGCCACCGCUAAAAAUAGAACAUAGGGGUAAAAUGCAGUUUUUGGCUUAUAACUCAAAAACCAAAGCAUUUAGAGGAAAUCUGACAUGGGGUAAAAAUGUUUAUCAGGUCAAGAUCUAUCUGCCCUGAAAUUUUCAGAUGAAUCGGUCAAUCGGUUGUUGGGUUGCUGCCCCUGAAUUGGUAAUUUUGAGGAAAUUUUGCUGUUUUUGGUUAUUAUCUUGAAUAUUAUUAUAGAUAGAGAUAAAUUGUAAACAGCAAUAAUGUUCAGCAAAGUAAGAUCUACAAAUAAGUCUACAAGACCAAAAUGGUCAGUUGACCCCUUUAGGAGUUAUUGCCCUUUAUAGUCAAUCUUUAACCAUUUUUCAUAAAUCUAAGUAGUCUUUUACAAAAUCUCCACUGAAACUACUAGGCCACAAUCAUCUUUGGGGUAUCUAGUUUGAAAAAUGUGUCCGAUGACCUGGCCAUUCAACCAAGAUGGCCGCCACGGCUAAAAAUAGAACAUAGGGGUAAAAUGCAGUUUUUUGCUUAUAACUAUGAAACCAAAGCAUCUAGAGCAAAUCUGACAAGAAGUUAAAUUGUUAAUCAAGUCAAUAUCUAUCUGCCCUGAAUUUUUCAGAUGAAUUGGACAACUGGUUGUUGGGUUGCUGCCCUCCAAUUGGUAAUUUUUAAAGAAAUUUUGCCGUUUUUGGUUAUCUUGAAUACUAUUAUAGAUAGCGAUAAACUGUAAACAGCAAUAAUGUUCAGCAAAGUAAGAUCUACAAAUAAGUCAACAUGACCUAAAUGGUCAAUUGACCCCUUAAGGAGUUAUUGCCCUUUAUAGUCAAUUUUUAACAAUUUUCAUUAAUUUGGUAAGUUUAUGUAAAUUUUUACCAAAUAUAGUUCUCUGUUACUAAUGGGCAAAGUUCAUGAAGGAUAUAAUUGUAAGAAGCAAAAUCGUUCAGUAAAGUAAGAACUUCAAACACAUCACCAUCACCAAAAUACAAUUUUGUCAUGAAUCCAUUUGUGUCCUUUGUUUAAUAUGCACAUAGACCAAGGUGAGCGACACAGGCUCUUUAGAGCCUCUAGUUUAAUAGUUUUAUAAGUUUAUUAUAAAAUGUACAGCCCUCUUCCGUAAUUCAGAUUGAUUUGAACCAAUUUCUAAAAUCUGAUGAAUAUUAUACACAUGUUAGAAUGCUUAUAGACAAAAUAAGAUUCAGUUUUUGGUCAAGUUUAGGUUAGUUUGAUGUGAUUUUAAAGUCAAGUUAUGAUCUGAUUAAUAGGUUCACAGAUGCUGUGAUCUUGAUUUUAUUAUUAAGGGGUCAUCCAUAAUUGUCAACAAUUUUCCAAAGUGUACAAAACAUACACUUUUUCAGACCCUCCACUCUCCCUCAAAAAGUGAACAUCAACCAUUUUCAGAUUUCUAGACGAGAAUCAAUCAUUCUAAUAAAAAAAAGAUCAACUCUAUUAUAGAAAUUUGCAUUGAAAAUAAAGUUAAACAUAUCUGACUGUUUUAUUUGAUAAAUUAAAAAAAAGCGUACUAUAAAAAUGUUAAUAUUUUAACCCCUCCCCCAAGAGUACGUUUUGUACACUUUGGAAAAUGGUAGCCAAUUAUGGAUGACCCCUAAGUGAUCUAAUUUGUUUAUUUUUCGGUGCAGAAUGAAUUUUGAUACCAGAAUAACUUACAAGAAGCUCCUCUAAAGCUUACACAUUAUUAUUAUGACCAUUUAUAAGGUCAUUUUGGUGCAAUAUAUUCUACGUAGAUGACUUACCUGUAGCUAAGUAAAGAGUAUUAGGCUUUGGGAAUUUGCAAAUUAUCAUUUGAUGCAGCUUAGGAAAGUAGCAUAAUUGUAGUGGUGCUUGUAUGCUGAUUAUUUAUCAAAAAUAUAAUUACAAAAAAUAAAAAUAUAUAUACCAAUACACAUAUUUAACAGUGCCUAGUGAUUUUCAGCGGGGGAAUUGUCAGUGAACCAUUACUAUAUUACCCAAAUUAUAUACAUUUUAAUUACAUUUAAAACAUAAAAAUGUUUGCUAGAGCUUGGGUAAACAGAAUGAAGUUCAAAUUUAUUGCAAAUACUGUAAUAUAUUCAGAUUGGUUUUGCUGGUAUUUUUGUGCAUUUAACCUUAUUGACAUCAUAAUUUAUUUAUGGGAUUUUCAAACUUGAUGUUAUUAUGAAAGAUUCGCAAUGAUUUAUGUUUUCAUUAUUUUUAUACGACCGCAAAUUUUGAAAAAAUUUUCGUCGUAUAUUGCUAUCACGUUGUCGUCGUCGUCAGAAUACUUUUAGUUUUCGCACUCUAACUUUAGUAAAAGUGAAUAGAAAUCUAUGAAAUUUUAACACAAGGUUUAUGACCAUAAAAGGAAGGCUGGUAUUGAUUUUGGGAGUUUUGGUCCCAAUAUUUUAGGAAUUAGGGGCCAAAAAGGGCCCAAAUAAGCAUUUUCUUGGUUUUCGCACUAUAACUUUAGUUUAAGUUAAUAGAAAUCUAUGAAAUUUUGACACAAGGUUUAUAACUACAAAAGAAAGGUUGGGAUUGAUUUUGGGAGUUUUGGUUUCAACAGUUUAGGAAUAAGGGGCCAAAAAAGAGCCCAAAUAUGCAUUAUUCUUGGUUUUCGCACAAUAACUUUAGUUUAAGUAAAUAGAAAUCAAUGAAAUUUAAACACAAUGUUUAUGACCACAAAAGGAAGGUUGGUAUUGAUUUUGGGAGUUUUGGUCCGAACAGUUAAGGGAAAAGGGGCCCAAAGGGUCCAAAAUUAAACUUUGUUUGAUUUCAUCAAAAUUGAAUAAUUGGGGUUCUUUAAUAUGCCGAAUCUAACUGUGUAUGUAGAUUCUUAAUUUUUGGUCCCGUUUUCAAAUUGGUCUACAUUAAGGUCCAAAGGGUCCAAAAUUAAACUUAGUUUGAUUUUAACAAAAAUUAAAACCUUAAGGUUCUUUGAUAUGCUGAAUAUAAAAAUGUAUUUAGAUUUUUGAUUAUUGGCCCAGUUUUCAAGUUGGCCCAAAUCGAGGUCCAAAAUUAAACAUUGUUUGAUUUCAUCAAAAAUUGAAUAAUUGGGGUUCUUUGAUAUGCCAAAUCUAACUGUGUAUGUAGAUUCUUAAUUUUUGGUCCAGUUUUAAAAUUGGUCUAAAUUAAAGUGCAAAGGGUCCAAAAUUAAACUAAGUUUGAUUUUAACAAAAAUCAAAUUCUUGGGCCUCUUUGAUAUGCUGAAUCUAAACAUGUACUUAGAUUAUUCAUUAUGGGCCCAGUUUUCAAGUUGGUCCAAAUCAGGAUCUAAAAUUAUUAUAUUAAGUAUUGUGCAAUAGCAAGUCUUUUCAAUUGCACAGUAUUGUGCAAUGGCAAGAAAUAUCUAAUUUCACAAUAUUGUGAAAUAGCAAAUUUUUUUUUAAUUAAGAGUUAUCUUUCUUUGUCCAGUAAAGUAAGCAAGAAAUAUCUGCAAGAAUUUUUUUUAAUUGGAGUUAUCUUUCUUUGUCCAGAAUCAACUUAAAUCUUUGUUUUAUACAAUAUACAAUGUAUAUUCACUUUUUACUACCAACUGAUAAAUUGAAAUAAUCUUUACCAUUCAGUGAUAACAAGCAGUUUUUUUACAUCUUAAUAUUUUAAGAUGUAUUUAAAUGAGUAGUAAUUGUUGCAAACUCCAUUAGAAUAUUUUAAUUGAAAUUAGUUUUGGAAUAAGGGAAAGGGGGAUGUGAUUAAAAAAUUGGGUUCAAUUUUUCUCAUUUGAAAUUUCAUAAAUAAAAAGAAAAUUUCUUCAAACAUUUUUUUGAGAGGAUUAAUAUUCAAAAGCAUAGUGAAUUGCUCUAAGAGAAAACAAAAAUUUUAAGUUCAUUUGAAUACAUUCAUUCUGUGUCAGAAACCUAUGCUGUGUCAACUAUUUAAUCUCAAUCCAAAUUUAGAGCGGAAUCCAGCUUGAAUGUUGUGUCCAUACUUGCCCCAACUGUUCAGGGUUCAACCUCUGCGGUCGUAUAAAGCUACGCCCUGCGGAGCAUCUGGUUCUAUUUGCAAAAGAUUGCAUAAAAAAGAUUUACAUUUUUUUGUUCUUUUGCCUUUAUACUUAAUUAUGCAAAUUAUAACAAAUUUCAAAAUAAAAUAAAUCAAUAGAAGAUUUGUAAUACUCAGUGUGCCAUGAAUAAAUAUUUGUUUAAGCUUG